GUAUUGUCUUGUGAUCCUGAAAUUGGAAAGUUCAAUGAGAUGACAACUAAUUCAUCUUGUGAUGAAUGUGAACCGAGCAUCCAUGUGGCUUCUGAUUUUGAAAAUUGUAAUCCCAACGAGUCGACUACUAUCUCAACCUAUGACAAAGUUGAGCAGAAUGACCUUAUAGCUUUUGAUUUUGAAAAUCAAAAUCUAAAUGAAGUGACCACUGAUUCAGCUGGCGAUGAAGGAGAAUCACAUUACUAUUUGGGUUUUGAUCAAGAGGAUCAAAAUUCAAAUGAGAUGGCGGC
RNAcentral lists this unclassified non-coding RNA (290 nucleotides) under Hevea brasiliensis (rubber tree). The record is from RNAcentral. Lineage: Eukaryota; Viridiplantae; Streptophyta; Magnoliopsida; Malpighiales; Euphorbiaceae.